Long non-coding RNA from Paramormyrops kingsleyae, 1878 nucleotides. RefSeq lists it as uncharacterized. The record is from RefSeq and is a predicted model, not a curated record. NCBI's taxonomy places the organism in Eukaryota, Metazoa, Chordata, Actinopteri, Osteoglossiformes, Mormyridae.
AUUAUCUGGCACAGAUGCGACCAAGUGAAAUUAAAAAUCGCACACUCUCAAUAAAAGGUGGCAUAUGCCACAUUUUUGGUACCAGUCUGGAGCCCUGAACAACAUUUGAACAAUGAAGUUGGGCAGCCUAACGCUGAUAUUUCCUACCUCUUCUUCAAUGUCAACUAAAGUCACGGUGGGACCUUGGAUGUGGAUGCGCGCGACAGACCGACAGCCCAGGUUGUUGCUAAGCAAUAAGUAUGUAAAUAAACAGCAGUUGUGUGCACCCGCCCUUGCAUCCGAGUGAGCGUUCCCGAAUCUCCGCUAGGCACUCCAGCCAGGGUCCUCAAGCCGCUGCCACAUGAGAGGUGACCAUGAACCCGACGGCUGAGGUCCAGUGAUCCCGUAAGAAGAUGGGAGAAACUUCCAGAAGGCCAUCCGUCAUUGCAACCGAUUUGUGCUUCGCAAAAGCCUCAGAAGAAGACUCAAGAAAACCUACGUAGAGUUUGCAACAAGCCACCAAAAAGACUCCCAGACUGUGAGAAGCAAGAUUCUCUGGGUUUGAUGAAACCAAGAUUACAGAUUAGUGUGGCCUCAAUGCCAAACUUCAUGUCUGAAGGAAGUGGCGCACUGCUCAUGACCUGUGCAAAACCAUCCAGUGGUGAACUGUAGUGGUGACAGCCUCUUACUGUUUGGGACAGGAGCAGAGGAGGGGUCUCACAGCAGGGGGGGGGCUGCUGGGAAGAGGGCUCAGUAAUAUUUCCAGACCUGGGGAGGAGAGGUUCUCGGUAAAUUUCUGCAAAUCGUUUGCGAUCAUCUGUUAUAAAAAGGGGCACUUGGUAAUAUUUGCUGGCUUUGGGGAGGGGGGGUGGAGAAGGAAUUAAUAAAUUUUGAAGAAUUUAUACUUAAAAAAUUUACAUGUUUAAGUGUAGUUCUGUAUAAUAAAUUAUUUAGAUAAUGCAUAAGUAAUGCAAAAACAUUAUGAAACAGAAUUUUUUUUUUCUCGUACAAUGCGCCUGGUAGUCAGCAUUCAUUAAAGAUUGGUUCCAAAUGGUCAGAGUUUUGAAGGGGGAAUCCCCAGAUGUUGUUCCUGUCCCUCCCCAAAUACCAAAGAUACAUGGGCUGCAUCCUCGCCAAGAGAGACCAAUCCCAUGAUUCACUGCAUCCCAAGUUCAUUGCUCUUGCCAAGACCACAACUCCGGUCUUUGCAUUCUUGGUAUUGAAAGUCACCAAACAAAAUCAGCAUAUGUUAUGCACGUGCAGAGGCAAUAGAUACUCGAACAUUUUUACCCUCGAUGGUCAUGAUGCUCUUUUUAGGAAGGCCUGCCCAUGGCCCUUAUCAAACAGAAUUUUAUCAAUGAGUAAUAUUUAAACUAUAACUUAAAAUCCCAGUCUGGCUGCCAUCCAUAAGCUUGAGCGUGAAGCAGCCGGUAGUUGUGGGUAUUUUAUUUCAUCUGUUCGCACGUCGCCCUCUUUGAAUGAACGGCCCAUUAACCAAUAGUAAUGAAGCGCACAGUGAACAGCAUAUGAAAACCAUAUCAAAUGUGCAUUUUAAAAAUCUACGGAGGGCUGUCGCUGCAUUGCGCCAUGAUCUCUCCGACACAAAACAAAUAAACAUAACAAAUAAAUGUACGAUAUGUUCCCCAUUUGAGUACCUUUAUUAGCAAGAAAAUAUAUAUCUUUGAUUGAUCAAAAUAACCACCUCUAAUAGUUAUAACAGCAAAGAAAAUUCAUGGCAUUCUUUCUACAAGGGACAUUAAACGUUACUGUUUCAUUGGAUGAAACAGUUAGCUAGUGCAUUUAAAGUUAUAGGACAGCUUAGAAUUUGACUAUGCCAUCAUCACACAACCAGUUAAUAGGAUGUCAGACAUGCACUGUUACAUACUCUUCCCAUGUUAU